Molecule: non-coding RNA, 72 nt
Organism: Candidatus Gottesmanbacteria bacterium
Lineage: Bacteria; Candidatus Gottesmaniibacteriota
Source: Rfam
GCGGGUGUGGUCCAAUGGCAGGAUGCGUCCUUCCCAAGGAUGAGGCGGGGGUUCGAUUUCCCCUCACCCGCU